RNAcentral lists this unclassified non-coding RNA (225 nucleotides) under Hevea brasiliensis (rubber tree). Lineage: Eukaryota; Viridiplantae; Streptophyta; Magnoliopsida; Malpighiales; Euphorbiaceae. The record is from RNAcentral.
GCUAUUAGUUAAUUCCACUUGCUGGUAGCCUCAUCCAACUGAAAGAUCUUCUUGUGAGUCUCAUUCUUGGUCCUUCCUCAGACGGUAGAUUUGUUGCUGUUACAGAAAUUGAAAUUGUGUCUUCUACCUGUGAAAUUGCAGUAUAAUUUUCAGCAAAUGAAUCUCUCGUCGCUAUAACCAAAAUGUUUGAAAGGGGUAAAUCUUCAGAUAAGGUGCCAUUUGGGG